UACGAAGGGUGCAAGCGUUACUCGGAAUUACUGGGCGUAAAGCGUGCGUAGGCGGUUUGUUAAGUCUGUCGUGAAAGCCCUGGGCUCAACCUGGGAAUUGCGAUGGAUACUGGCGAGCUAGAGUACGGUAGAGGAUGGUGGAAUUCCCGGUGUAGCGGUGAAAUGCGUAGAGAUCGGGAGGAACACCCGUGGCGAAGGCGGCCAUCUGGACCAGUACUGACGCUGAGGCACGAAAGCGUGGGGAGCAAACAGG
RNAcentral lists this ribosomal RNA (253 nucleotides) under uncultured bacterium. RNAcentral's name for it is "partial 16S ribosomal RNA". It matches the Rfam family "Bacterial small subunit ribosomal RNA", at positions 524 to 776 of the family's 1533-position model. The record is from RNAcentral.